This is a long non-coding RNA of Triticum dicoccoides, 4728 nucleotides long. RefSeq lists it as uncharacterized. The transcript is spliced from 5 exons. The record is from RefSeq and is a predicted model, not a curated record. Lineage: Eukaryota; Viridiplantae; Streptophyta; Magnoliopsida; Poales; Poaceae.
GCCGCCGCCUCCUCUCCUCCCCUGCGCCCCGCUCCUCCCGCCUAGCCGCCGCCUCCUCUUCCCUCCCUGCCUCACCGCCGCCCGGCUUCCUCCCCUCACGGCCUCCUCCUUCCACCCCUCAUCUAGGGCCUCUGAAACCCUAACGCCCAGCAAGGAUCAAUACGAUACAAGGUGAGGGGAGGGAUCGAGCAACAAGGUGAGGCAGCGCCCAGAUCCACAGGUCUGCGACCGUCCUCGAGGUCGGCCAUGGAGGUCCGGUCCGGCCCGACAGCAGCCAUGGAAGGAGACACCCGAAUCCGUAGCUCUCCAAGGACGCGUUAGCUGUAGGCCAUCUCCGGCGAGCUCAUCCACGGAUCUCCAACUAUGUUGCUCCGAUCUGGAAGAGGUGGUGGAGUUGUUGUUGUUGCUGCUGCAGGUGGACGAGGCACGAGCCUUCAUGGCUCCUCCCUCCUCCUCCCCCCGUGACGUGGCAUGACACCGCCAUCAUGCGUCAGGUUUAGGUAGAAGGCACGUCACCGCCACGCUCUCCUCCACUACAACGCCACGCACCCGGUUACUCCGAUGAGGACAAGCUGCUUCUGCAGGUGGAAUGGCCCUCAUGGCUGCUCUACCUAUUCCUUCUGCUACCCCCACACGUGGUGAGCCCCACCCAUUCUCUACCCCUGCAAAUCUAAUGUGAUGUGCACAAAAUACUUGCAAUUGUUCUCGACACAAGAGCACGUCAUGUAUUGUUCUAUUCGAAUGUGCAAUUUCAUUGCUUCUGUGCUUUUUUAUGCUUGCUUCACAAGAGCCAAAUCAUGGAUAUAAGUUGCGCUUCCUUUCAAGUUGAAUAGUAAUAAUCACCAUUUGGUUCCAUUUUCUCCUCUGCAUCCCAGUGUUCAGUCUCUCAUAGAUGUCCAUAUAUACACAGUUCCGAUCUCCUUUUUUCUGUGGCUCCAUACAGCGAACAUCAAAGCCGUCGAUGCACUGAGGGCUCAAUGUCGUGCCCGUCGGCUAAGCGGCAAGCCAGGGUUGGGCCUGCACACUGCCUAUCAGCACUCACCGUCUCCAUUCACGGAUCUGCAGGUAUGCAUGGUAAUGUUAAAGAGGCCCCUUAUGCUCCUGCAGAUUUGUGGGUGAUUCCCUGUUGGGUUUUCCUGUGGUAGAUUCUCUGUUGAUGAAGACUGUGGUGCAAUACUUCCUGGAGACAUAUGGUUUCAAUAUUCAGCACACUACAUUACCCUGUUACUUUUUGUGUAGAAAUAAUAGGUUAUAUCUUCUGCUUUCUACCAUAAGAAAUGAUAAAUCAAGGUGGAUAAUAACAGGUUAUAUCACAAUAGUGAUCAAAGGGAAGAGAAGUACUUUUGCAAGUCAUGCGUGGAAUUUUAUCAGACAAAUUUUUAUUCUUCAGAUGUGUAAUCCUAUUUUUAUGAGAUAUAUGUAUUUCUUCUUGAUCAUUCUUUUGGGAUUAGGGGUAGUAGAAUAAUCAGAAUAUACCUGAGGUGUUUGUACCAUCUGCAUACACUUUAGCUCAGAAUAAUAAUGUGCUUCCUGUUACUUGCUCUGUUUUGAUAAUGUACAUACAUCAAUUGUGAUAUAUAUAAUUGGUAGCAGAUAAACAAUAUUAGUUUUCCAGUGAAUGAUUUUAGAUUCUUCCAUGAAAGCAUCUCCCCCCUUUUUGCGAUUUCCGUUUCAUGAAAUGAGUACGAUGACUGUCGUGAUAUGUUUCUUCUCUGAAUAUUUAUUACCAUGAACUCGAGUAUCCGGCGUGUGUAGUUGUAUACCUCCUUCUUAGAAUUGGAUGAACACCCAUAGUUCAUUUUGGGCUAAUGCAGUGUGUUUUUUCUCGAAUGCUUACGCUUGAUGCUUCGUGUGAUUUUAAACUUCCCGUCACCAUGGAUCUAUGGCCAUCUACUUUAGCUGUUAUGUGAUGAUCUGAUUUACUUGGCAUAUUAGGAGUUGAUGAUUUAGAUCUGGAAGGAAAUGUAACUUUGACAUUGUAUGUUGCAAACUUUAUUAUCCUAAUAAAAAUUUAUAAUCAGGUCUGAUCGAUUGAGACAUGCUUCUAAGACAAGUACAGUAGUAGUUACAUUAGCAACAUGAAUUUAUCUUUGACUUGAAACUCUGGAUCUUUUCUAAAGAUGAUCGACGGUGUUGCAAUUUAUCUCCGCCUUUUUUCAACGGAUGCGUGUCCAUCCCCUGUUUAUCAAUUGUGUGUUUCCUUACUUAAUCAAGAAACAUCUUAAUUUCAUGGCGGGUAUGUUGAAGAAUAUUUGAAAAUAUAAAUGCUUCCUUCUUUUGAAUAAUCUGGUUCCCUUUUGCUAGAUCAAGGAACAUCUUAAUUUCGCAGCCGCUGUUCUCCCCGUCGAGCUUGGCCUUUGCCAUUGCUGGGAGCAGACUGGACUCAAACUUGAAUUGCUCUGUUUCGGGAUUUAAACCUUCUUCAGUUAGGAAAUCACAAAUAUCUUGCUUGCAUAGAAAGAAACUUGGAGGUUCUUGAUCACACAAAGGUGUUUUUUUACAUGUAGGUGCCUUCUUUUAAUCUACGCAUGACCCAGGUUUCUGUGAUGUGCAGUUUGGCCCAUGAGCCUGCGGAUACGUGCUUUCUUGACCUUGCGACACACUGUCCUCCUCCGCCGGCCGCCUAACAGGUCUGUCCUUCUUCUUACUCUAGCAGCAGAAACUGAAGCAGCUAGGGUUCACCACCAUAUUGCCCAUUAUCUUUAUUUUUUCUGCCCCUCUUCCACCAACAAUUACCUUGCAAUAAUGUAGCUUCAAUCUUUGUUUUGUACAGUGUUUCUUAAUCCUGGUUCGUUUCAGUUGAUUGAUUUAGGCAGAUCAUGGAGGCUGGUUCUCACAUUUAUGUUUGGGGAAUUCUUCAAUUGAUAAAUUGAAAUGACUGCUGGUUAGGUAAUUAGUUCACUGAAAGGAGUGUCAUACAUCAUCUCUUCAUGCAAAUAUGGUACAUCAAAUUGUCUAUUUGUUUUGUGUGCUCCUUGGAGAUGUUAACUGAACUUCAAAAUAAAUCAGUUUUUUGUUUGUCUAAGAUUAUUUUAGACCCGAGAACUUGGGUCUGUUUAGAGUUACAUAUGUUAUAGAAGGUUGUCGUUCUGCUAUACUACCAACAAGUCACAAAUGGUUGUUAGAUAUUUGGAUGGAUUUGUUGAGUCAACCAUUGUAUUUAUCAUUUCUUUUUAUCAUUUCUUUAACUGUUAAUAGUAUACGUAGUGCUCACUCUGCUUUUCUAGGCACCUCAAGUCACUUUGACACUGUCAUCAUUCAAAAUAUGUGCAAACAAGCCCAUUGGUGCUCGACAUGGAUACGUGGUUUUUCGACCUCACGUGAUACGCUAACCUAAUCCGCCGGCCGCCUAUAGGUCUUUGUGUGUGUGUGUGUGUGUGUGUGUGUGUGUGUGUGUGUGUGUGUGUGUGUGUGUGUGUGUGUGUGUGUGUGUGUGUGUGUGUGUGUGCACGCGCGCGCGCCUAUGCCAUUAAAAGCAGGCGGAGGUGCAGCAAUGGAGGAUCCAACCAUCGAUCGAGAUCGAUAUAAGGCUAAGUAACUAAUUUUUGCUUUUGCUAUCCUGAAUUUCUAUGCUGCACAUUAUGUGUGUGUGUGUGUGUGGAAUUGCUGUGACAUGCUUUUUUCAACUAUACUCACAUUCUUUGCUUUAGUUGAUUAUUCUAUGCUUGCCCUGUUAACCAUCUUCUUCAUUUUUAAUGAGAGUCUCUUAAACUAUCUGGUUAGAAGAUAGGUGUAAUAAAUACAUGGUGGUUAAAUCUGAAGCAUAUACGUAUUAUUUUGAGGAAGAGUUCUGUUCGUAUACCUGCAUUGUUGCUACUUGAAUUUUAUUUUCUCGGCUGUAUGGAAGUAUUAGUUCUUUUCAAGUCAAUAUGUUGAUUGACAGAAUAACUAGAAGAUCCACUUGUUGGGAUGGUGCAAGUUUAACAUAAUGCACCUGAUGGCAGGAUACAUGAAAAAAUAAUAAUUUGUGGUAUUAAUCGCGAGCAAAUAAUGGUGAGAUCCAUGCCAUAUAUAUAUAUCAUAAAACCUUGUCGCAAUCUCUAUGUUAUUCUAUGUCACUUCUGGUAAUACAUUGUGAUUCUUACAAGGAAUUACUUCCUCCUCUUUCCCCCUGGUUUUCUUUUGCAUGGAUAUUGUAACCUCACUAGGAUGGAUUAAGAAUCUCAUGUGCUCCCUUUCCCUAAUAAAAUAGGACUUUCAAAAAUAAUGAGACUUUCACUCCUUUUUCUUUGUUGAUCUCUCUAAUUUCUGAUUACAAAUAUAUGCAGGUUUCUACUCUGUUUCAAGAACUUAAAGGACAUGCUUGCGAAUCAUGGACAACAUUGGCCUGGUACGGAGCUCGAGUCUAAGCUCUUGCUUGGCUUUAGGUGCAAACACGGGCCUUCAGUUCACCUAGAUCAAGAAGCGGAUGCUUGUGCCCAUUGUGUGUGACCGUGAUAUAGGCACUCACUCUGGAAUAUGAGAAUAAUUUGAUGAUCCUGUCUGGAAGAUAGUUCAAUAGUGAAUUUGACCACUUAUGUAUAGGUAUUUGUUGUUGUGUUAUGUAUGGAGAUGCAGAUUCUCAGGCUUAAGGUUUUAGUUUGGUAGUUUUAAGUGUUAUUGAUUGUUUUGUUGCAACUGGUUGUUGCUUAGCGUGAUAACCAAAGGAAUGCCUCUUGAAAAUUAAGAUCCUUAUUAUGUGUUCUUUCUAUGAGAUUGAUGCAAUGUGAACUUAUAUUCUUGGCGAAA